RNAcentral lists this ribosomal RNA (492 nucleotides) under uncultured bacterium. Its description in RNAcentral is "partial 16S ribosomal RNA". It matches the Rfam family "Bacterial small subunit ribosomal RNA", at positions 29 to 507 of the family's 1533-position model. The record is from RNAcentral.
AGUGAACGCUGGCGGUAGGCCUAACACAUGCCAGUCGAACGGCAGCACAGUAAGAGCUUGCUCUUACGGGUGGCGAGUGGCGGACGGGUGAGGAAUACAUCGGAAUCUACUUUUUCGUGGGGGAUAACGUAGGGAAACUUACGCUAAUACCGCAUACGACCUACGGGUGAAAGCAGGGGAUCUUCGGACCUUGCGCGAUUGAAUGAGCCGAUGUCGGAUUGGCUAGUUGGCGGGGUAAAGGCCCACCAAGGCGACGAUCCGUAGCUGGUCUGAGAGGAUGAUCAGCCAAACUGGAACUGAGACACGGUCCAGACUCCUACGGGAGGCAGCAGUGGGGAAUAUUGGACAAUGGGCGCAAGCCUGAUCCAGCCAUACCGCGUGGGUGAAGAAGGCCUUCGGGUUGUAAAGCCCUUUUGUUGGGAAAGAAAAGCAGCAGGUUAAUACCCCGCUGUUCUGACGGUACCCAAAGAAUAAGCACCGGCUAACUUCGUG